RNAcentral lists this long non-coding RNA (768 nucleotides) under Mus musculus (house mouse). RNAcentral's name for it is "long non-coding RNA chr9:26749610-26750378". The record is from RNAcentral. Lineage: Eukaryota; Metazoa; Chordata; Mammalia; Rodentia; Muridae.
GGAGUACAUGUGUUAACUGUGUCAGCCAUCUUGGUCCUUGGACACCAUGAAUGCUCUAGGACAGCCAGUUAUCAUGAGCAGUGGUACAGGCAGAUGUAAAGGAGGCUGAAUAAGCCACAGGUCUAAGCAGCUGCCCAGGAAGAGAGCCAUAGAAGCAGGAAAGCACCCCACACAGCCCAAGGCCAUGCCAUGCCCACCUUCUUUCUUCUGCUUUCCUAACCUGGACUCAGAACCAGGCUCGUUUUAGCAGCAGACAUUUCUGAAGCCCCAGCCAGGUCUGACCUCCCUCUCUUGGUCUGUUGUUGUCUGUGUCUAUAAGAGAGCAUCCAUGACUGGGUUGCUUAUAAAGAACAGGAGGCUUUUUGCUCUGUGGUUCUGGAAGAUGAAGUGCAAACGUGUGGUCUGGUGCAGACUGUGUGCUGCUUCAGUUCAUAGAGGACAGCAGCAUGAAGAGUGGACAGCCAUGGAAGAGAGGGGCUUAAGAGGUGGCCCUGCUUUAGAACAACUUGCUCUUGAAGGAGCGAGAAAGGCGUUAAUCCCUGUCAAUGACACAAUCAUCUCUUGCAGGCCUCUCCUCCCAACACUGCCCCAAGACAAAUCCCACCUUAUGUUUCAAAGGGGAGAGACUAGAUCUAUGGGGGACCUGCAGAGGACACUGCACAUUUGCCCCUCUGGUUUCAUUCCCUAAGGAAUGAUGUGCGGGCAGCUGCCACUGAUUCUAGGAGCCAUGAGUCUUUCAUGAGAAUGGCUGGCCAUGGGAUGUUGGCC